AUUGAACGCUGGCGGCAUGCUUUACACAUGCAAGUCGAACGGCAGCGCGGGCUUCGGCCUGGCGGCGAGUGGCGAACGGGUGAGUAAUACAUCGGAACGUGCCCAGUAGUGGGGGAUAGCUCGGCGAAAGCCGGAUUAAUACCGCAUACGACCUGAGGGUGAAAGCGGGGGAUCUUCGGACCUCGCGCUAUUGGAGCGGCCGAUGGCAGAUUAGCUAGUUGGUGGGGUAAAGGCCUACCAAGGCGACGAUCUGUAGCUGGUCGGAGAGGACGACCAGCCACACUGGGACUGAGACACGGCCCAGACUCCUACGGGAGGCAGCAGUGGGGAAUUUUGGACAAUGGGCGAAAGCCUGAUCCAGCAAUGCCGCGUGUGUGAUGAAGGCCUUCGGGUUGUAAAGCACUUUUGGCGGGAACGAAAAGGACUGUGCCAAUACCACGGUUCGAUGACGGUACCCGCAGAAUAAGCACCGGCUAACUACGUG
RNAcentral lists this ribosomal RNA (484 nucleotides) under uncultured bacterium. Its description in RNAcentral is "partial 16S ribosomal RNA". It matches the Rfam family "Bacterial small subunit ribosomal RNA", at positions 29 to 507 of the family's 1533-position model. The record is from RNAcentral.